RNAcentral lists this ribosomal RNA (301 nucleotides) under uncultured bacterium. Its description in RNAcentral is "partial 16S ribosomal RNA". It matches the Rfam family "Bacterial small subunit ribosomal RNA", at positions 509 to 809 of the family's 1533-position model. The record is from RNAcentral.
CAGCCGCCACGGUAAUACAGAGGGUGCAAGCGUUAAUCGGAAUUACUGGGCGUAAAGUGCGCGUAGGUGGUUUGUUAAGUUGGAUGUGAAAUCCCCGGGCUCAACCUGGGAACUGCAUCCAAAACUGGCAAGCUAGAGUAUGGUAGAGGGUGGUGGAAUUUCCUGUGUAGCGGUGAAAUGCGUAGAUAUAGGAAGGAACACCAGUGGCGAAGGCGACCACCUGGACUGAUACUGACACUGAGGUGCGAAAGCGUGGGGAGCAAACAGGAUUAGAUACCCGUGUAGUCCCUGUCUCUUAUAA